CGAGUUGACCAGACAAUCGCUGCUUUAUCGUUGAAUUCAAAUUUCGGUUUGAUCUCGGCAGAUAGAGGGGAGGAAAGUCCGGGCUCCAAUGAGCAGGGUGCCAGGUAACGCCUGGGCGGCGUGAGCCGACGACAAGUGCAGCAGAGAGAAGACCGCCGAUGGUUUCCUUCGGGAUUCACAGGUAAGGCUGAAAGGGUGCGGUAAGAGCGCACCGGAUUGCUGGUAACAGUAAUUGCAGGGUAAACUCCACCUGGAGCAAGACCAAAUAGGGUUUCAUGAUUAUUGUUGCGCAAGUUUCAAUAAUAUAAGCGUGGCUCGCGUGGAAACCGGGUAGGUUGCUUGAGCCUUAGAGUGAUUUAAGGCCUAGACGAAUGAUUGUCACUUCUUCGGAAGAUACAAAACCCGGCUUAUAGUGUCAACUCACUUA
Molecule: RNase P RNA, 427 nt
Filed under: Colwellia sp. 12G3
Lineage: Bacteria; Pseudomonadati; Pseudomonadota; Gammaproteobacteria; Alteromonadales; Colwelliaceae
Description: Bacterial RNase P class A
Rfam family: Bacterial RNase P class A
About the family: Ribonuclease P (RNase P) is a ubiquitous endoribonuclease, found in archaea, bacteria and eukarya as well as chloroplasts and mitochondria. Its best characterised activity is the generation of mature 5'-ends of tRNAs by cleaving the 5'-leader elements of precursor-tRNAs. Cellular RNase Ps are ribonucleoproteins.
Source: Rfam by way of RNAcentral